Molecule: unclassified non-coding RNA, 149 nt
Filed under: soil metagenome
Description: partial internal transcribed spacer 1
Source: RNAcentral
CCGAGUUUACAACUCCCAAACCCCUGUGAAACAUACCACUUGUUGCCUCGGCGGAUCAGCCCGCUCCCGGUAAAACGGGACGGCCCGCCAGAGGACCCCUAAACUCUGUUUUCUAUAUGUAACUUCUGAGUAAAACCAUAAAUAAAUCA